AGAGUUGAUCCUGGCUCANGAUGAACGCGACCGGCAGGCCUAAUACAUGCAAGUCGAACGGUAAGGUCUCUUCGGAGAUACACGAGUGGCGCACGGGUGCGUAACGCGUAUGAACCUACCUUGAACUGGAAGAUAGCCCCGAGAAAUCGGGAUUAAUAUUCCAUAAUGUCCAUUUUUUGCAUAUGAGAUGGAUUAAAGUUACGGCGGUUCAAGAUGGGCAUGCGUGACAUUAGCUAGUUGGUGAGGUAACGGCUCACCAAGGCGACGAUGUCUAGGGGUCCUGAGAGGGUUCCCCCCACACUGGUACUGAGACACGGACCAGACUCCUACGGGAGGCAGCAGUAAGGAAUAUUGGUCAAUGGACGCAAGUCUGAACCAGCCAUGCCGCGUGCAGGAUGACUGCCCUACGGGUUGUAAACUGCUUUUACGUGAGAAAAAACUCCCCGAUUCGUUCGGGGACUGAUGGUAUCACAUGAAUAAGCAUCGGCUAACUCCGUGCCAGCAGCCGCGGUAAUACGGAGGAUGCAAGCGUUAUCCGGAUUCAUUGGGUUCAAAGGGUGUGCAGGCGGAAUGAUAAGUCAGAGG
Molecule: ribosomal RNA, 585 nt
Filed under: uncultured organism
Description: bacterial SSU rRNA
Rfam family: Bacterial small subunit ribosomal RNA
Source: RNAcentral